GCAGCAGAAGCAGCGCCGCGUACCCGGGUCACGUGACAGCGGGCAGGGUCGCCUCUGAUGUCACCGCCCGGCCGGCCC
Long non-coding RNA from Amblyraja radiata (thorny skate), 78 nucleotides. RefSeq lists it as uncharacterized. NCBI's taxonomy places the organism in Eukaryota, Metazoa, Chordata, Chondrichthyes, Rajiformes, Rajidae. The transcript has 3 exons. The record is from RefSeq and is a predicted model, not a curated record.